CCAGUGUCUUAAUUCACCAUGCCCGAGCCUCUCGGGACAAGUCUAUGAAUAACAUGUUAGUAAUGCGAAGCCUUGGCUCCUCUGGGAUAUGGGAAGGGUCACAGAAGAGAUGGGGCAGAAGAGUGUGUGGCCUGUGGCAGAGAUGGCAGCACACAGGAUACUAUUUCGAUGGAGUCAAGAGUUUUCCAAAACUGAAAAUAACCAGAGAAGCACACGACAGAAGGUUCCAGGUGCAUAGCACAGCCUUGUCUAUGUGCUGUGUGCCUCCAGGCAAGUCACAAUUCCUCUCUGAUCCCUAAUAGCCCACCCACCAGUAGGAAGUUGCAUUAAAUAAUCUCAGUGUGGGAGUGAAAAUAUUAGAAACAGGAAAAGAACCAUUUGUCUUUGUUUCCUUUUUAUGAGUUGUGUUUCAGAUCAGCCAGGCUGGUGUUCCUAUUUAUUUCAGAGGCCGCUCAACCAAAAAUUGCUGUUUUCAUGGCUCUCAGUUUUGAUUUCCGAUGCUAAACAGAAAAACCACGACCCCAAACUUCCUAGACUGUUGGCUGUGGCUGUUGUACACAUUUUCCAGUGGUGUGGGUAGAUCGUAGUGAAACAAGGGACAAACGCCUGCUCGGUUCUGAAGGAUAUCAGGAAAGAAAUGCUUAAAUGAGUAAAUGAUGCAGCGACUGGGGGAUCAACAGACCACACGGUCUAACUUGGUUUCUCUUUAAAAGUGGAGGAGAGCUAGGAAAAAUAUCAAGGUUGUCUUCUCCUAAACACAGUCCCCAGCCAGCCUGAUUUUGAAGCACGGCAUUGGGCGAUACUGUGCUCCAUAUGCUUCUCAGCUCACAGGGACCACUGAUGCUGGUUCUGGGGUUUGGAGCAGUAGGGCUGAGGGGAUCGGUUGGCCUUUACAAAGGGACAAGGACAACAUUCCAUUUAUGAACAAACCCCUUUCACUGUAGGCCUAGAAGGUCACGGAGGGUGUGCACAGGGUGAAUGGGGUGGGGGUGAGGGUUCUCUGUCACUGUCCCCCUGGAAGUCAGUAGGCCUGUCAUGCCAGCAGUUAGUCAAAGAUGCACGAGAGUGAUGGGGCUGUGGCAGUCCUGACAGACCAUGGGCAAGAUCACAGGUCUCGGCUCAGCCACCAGGAUGAACAGGUAGUGAGGGCUGCCCUGCAAGGCUCGCUGACAGGUGCUGUGUGGUACACUGGCUCCUUAGCCUGAAGACUCCAAAAGUAUGACGUGUCCUUCUGUGGUGAUGAGGAUGGGAUUUAGUCACAAAGUCACUGCAUCUAUCUGGAAUUCCAGAUGAGCUUUGGGACAUGAUGGCGGGACCCCUCUCAGUUAGUUUGGCUGCGGCACCUCCAGCACAGAUCAAAUCCAGCUACCUCAGCCACACAGCUGACCGUCCUAGAUAAAUGGCCACAUUUUCUGCUCCAUAGCAAGACAUAGGUUCAGACAGACAACUCAUGGGAAUGACAAAGCAGUAUGGUAUGUUACCAAAAUGGAACGGGGAGAAGGCAUCAGAAAACAGUAUCAGUUCAGCUUUUCUUUUUAAUUGCUGUGUAGCUGAACAUAGAAGUUCAUGCUGUAAUCCCAGCACUUAGUAAGCUAAGAGAGCAGAAUUAGCACAACUUGGAGGCCAGCCUGGGUUGCAUAGAAAAACCCUGUCUCAAGUGAAACAGAAAACAGCCACCCAGCGCAGCUUCCUGGGUGGCUACAUGAGGAAACAACGAGUCAUUUCAUGGGUGCAACUGCCCAUCUCAUCUGAGCAGCAGAUCUGGAAACAGGCUGGAGCUAGAAAUACAGACGGAGCCCUUUGGUUCAGCCUGAGAUCCCUUCUCUGCUGUAGACUUUCGACUUUCGGGAUUAUAACAUGGUUCACGUGGAUAAAGGAGGGACUAGAGCUUCUGAAAGCAUAUUCCGCCUAUGGGACCACUCACUGCUCUUUGUAUUCAAAACACCAUCUUCCCGGAAAAACAAAGCUGGACCCUACCGGUUUGGGAGUCUGAUGCAGUGGACCCCCCAAGAACACUAAGCAAAGCUGUCAUUUACUUGUAUGGUCUUGAAUAUAAAUGUAAGUGGGGAUUAUACUGCCCCUCACACAUUAGUCCCUCCCUUCAGGUUUUUGAAGAUGAAAUGAGAUUCUGAUUGUGAAAGUACUUUAUUAGCCAGAUGUGUUUACAUACGAGCAAGUAGGUGUUGAGUGGUACCUAUGCUUUUUGUUCUUUUUUGAUGUUUGUUGUGCUUUCUGCCUAGCCAGAAGUGUCAGCUCGCCUCUGGAAACCUGGGACUUAGGUGCUGGUUCUACCAGCUCCAAAGGGCUGAAUCAGGCUCAAGCCCCUUUGUUCUUAUCUAGUCUCAGUUUGUGGCUAGGAUGUUGGCAUGAGGGAUUAACCAGUUCCAUGGUAUGACAGGUGAGUCCAGGUACCUGGGAUCCCAUAUUUGGCUUCUGUCUCUCUGCAGUUCUGCAGGGUCCCCUGAUCUCUACUAGGUGCUAACACUUUCCUUCCAAUUCUACCAGCACCUUUACUUUGGGGAGGAAAAUUUCAUUUACAUA
RNAcentral lists this long non-coding RNA (2541 nucleotides) under Cricetulus griseus (Chinese hamster). Its description in RNAcentral is "lncRNA (ENSCGRG00015030668.1)". The record is from RNAcentral. Lineage: Eukaryota; Metazoa; Chordata; Mammalia; Rodentia; Cricetidae.